Long non-coding RNA from Octopus sinensis (East Asian common octopus), 1034 nucleotides. RefSeq lists it as uncharacterized. NCBI's taxonomy places the organism in Eukaryota, Metazoa, Mollusca, Cephalopoda, Octopoda, Octopodidae. The record is from RefSeq and is a predicted model, not a curated record. The transcript is spliced from 3 exons.
UCUAGAGGGCAUUUACAUUAGUGAAGGGAAUUGGCUUCUUGGUACAUCUUUGUUGUUACUCCUGAAACUUCUUGCCAAUGUCUUUCUUAUUGGCAUUAAUCACACUGACUGCCCCAAUCUAGAAGGACCUGCUGUGCAGUUAUGGGUGUUGCCUCUCUUUCUAUUAGAUAAUACAAAGAUCUUAAAAUUGUAUUGAAAUCUAUUGGCAGCACAGCACAAAUCUUUUCCAGUUUUCUAAAUUGUUGAAGUAAAUUUCUAAAUUGUUGAAAGUCUUUUCUUGACACAACCAACAUUUACUAUGUUUUCUGACUUACUUUUGAAUAUGAUUCUUUUUUCUAAUUUAUCUUAAUGAGAUACUACACAUUAAAAUAUUGCACAUACACUACCAGCACUCAAGUUAGAAUCUUUGGAUUUGCUCAUGUUUCAUUCCUGACAAUUUGCUUUUCAGGCCUUUAAUUUUAUGGUAUAAAAAUAAUGGGCUUUUCUUUGUAAAUGCCAGAAUCAAAAUACAAAGAAGUCAUGCAUUUUAACUGACCUGUCAAACACUAUUCUAUCUAUAAAUGAAACUCAGUAUAGCUUUUAACUUUGUUCUUACAGUAGUUAUUUAAAAUAACCCCUAAAAUCUCAAAUACAUCCUUGGACAAGAUCAUCUUGAUGCCACUACACAGUGUAUAACAUAGAAUCUAACACUACCAACAUACAAUCAAUAUCAGAUGCAAAUGCAACCCAAAUCUUAUAAAACAAAUACAAAUGUGUAUCACAUCACAAUCAACAAUGUUAACAUUCUACAUGGUAUCAAAGUUUUAAAAUAAGGAAAGUAUUAAUUUCAUUUUCAAGUAGUAUAUCAAAUCAACAGUGAAUCCCAUGAAUCCUAAGUGGUGACCUCAAUUUCUCUAUCUUGGAUGUUACACAAACAAUGCUCUCUGUAUAAGCUGCAUAUACACAUAGCAUCGAAUGGUCAUUUAUGGAAAAGAAAAAAAAAAUCAAAGUACAUAGGCACAAGACAUGGCUGUGUAGUAAGAAGCUUACUUCCC